GCCUUCGUGGUGUAACGGUAGCACACUGAGCGCGUAUUUCCAGAGACCCAGGUUCGAGUCCCGGAGAGGGCA
This 72-nucleotide transfer RNA is filed under the name Stegodyphus mimosarum. It matches the Rfam family "tRNA". From Rfam's summary of the family: Transfer RNA (tRNA) molecules are approximately 80 nucleotides in length. Their secondary structure includes four short double-helical elements and three loops (D, anti-codon, and T loops). The record is from Rfam by way of RNAcentral. Lineage: Eukaryota; Metazoa; Arthropoda; Arachnida; Araneae; Eresidae.